RNAcentral lists this long non-coding RNA (1434 nucleotides) under Chrysemys picta bellii (western painted turtle). RNAcentral's name for it is "lncRNA (ENSCPBG00000021537.1)". The record is from RNAcentral. Lineage: Eukaryota; Metazoa; Chordata; Testudines; Emydidae.
CAACCUCGCAGAACUGCUGGUCUUCCCAGGCAACCAUGGGCCUGUACAGCCAAGGAGACUGCCGCUUUGCAGGGGCCCAGUCCUGCGUGGUUUGGGCACUCAGCACGUCACAGGAUUGAACCUCACACAAGCAGGCAGCCGCAGUACCUACCACGCACUGGGAGGCUCUGCCAACAGCCACGUCUGCCGAAUCCGCUGGUUCCAAGCUUUCCUCCCCGGGGGGGCAGGCAGAGGGGACACAUUUGCUCAGAGCAGCACAACACCCACAGGAGGGCCAGUGAUGGGCCUGGCAGGCAGAGGAGAUUGGCAUGGGGAGGCUUUGUUGGCGCUACAGAGGGACGACAUUUUAUUCUAGCGACAGAGAGACAAACGCAGCCCUGGCCCAGCUGGGUGGAAUUCCCAUGCCCUCGAUGGCCUCAGACUCUCAUCUCCUGGGCUGUAGUUGGACUGGUGUCGUUUGAAAGGGAUCUCAGCACCCCAGCACCAGGGCUGCUGAGAGGAGAAGGAGCCCUUGUCCUGCCUGUGGCAAAGGCCAGGCCACAACAGAAGAGAUGCCCUUCCAUUUUGUUUCAAUAAGGGACGCGGGAAAAAACUCCUUUGCAAAUACUUGGGUAACUCUUCCUGCCACUUCCAAUUUGACACUGUAACUUCCUUCCUGCACGUCCCACCAAAGCACCAGAGGCAAAGAAACAAGAUGAAAGGCCUGCGGCUCAUUUUUUAUUGUAGGGUUUCCCCAGACCGGGGUUUUCCCUGCUGCCUCCAAGCAAUGUCAUGCAGAUAAUGGAGAAUUAAAAUACAAAGUAACAUGGAAACUCUGCUGGUGUUUUCCAGUGAAUAGCACUGCUCCGUUAUGGCUCUUUACAUCCCUGUGCUGCACAGCGAAUGACCCCAGGCACUGCCCCUUGGAAAGAGGAGAAUAACACACUGAACCGCAAGACUAACGUUGAAUUUGGAGAGUCAGACCCCACUGGAGGGGUGGCAGAGGCUUGGGAUUGAAGGGAAAGACAGGGAGAGGAGAUAACGCGGCUACUUUAGCAGAUUGCUGUUUUGGGAAACCGAUGCUCCCCCGCUAACCUCACGCCGUUCUGCAGCCCUCAGAGCCUCUGCUCGUUUCCAAGAGGGCGUCAUUCUUCCUGAGUCAAAAACAGCUUUAAACUAAACCCAACAGCCCUCCAACACUGCACCAGUUCUGUCAAUCAGCCCCUGUCAAAAUCAAUCUGCUCAUUCACUCAUCGGAGAUGGGGUUUUUUGUCUUGUUUUGUUUUUUUGAAAGUGAAAUUUGAUAAAAAUCAGAAGUGUACCCAGCUAAUACAAUAGAGGAAGGAAAACUCUGGCGUCCCAUCAAUCAAGAUGCCACCUAAUAUCCUUCCAGCUGGAGACGGGCCAAAGAGAGUGAGCAGUGCACUUUGGGGACAAUACAGCCCCCGUCUUGGG